Molecule: ribosomal RNA, 113 nt
Filed under: Danio rerio (zebrafish)
Lineage: Eukaryota; Metazoa; Chordata; Actinopteri; Cypriniformes; Danionidae
Source: RNAcentral
GCUGGCAGCUAGCUCUCUGCAACUCUUACUUUCGCCAACUGAAGCUAAGCAGGGCUGCACCCGGUCAUUACCUGGAUGGGAGACCACAUGGGAAGGCUAGGUUGCUGCCGGAA